Molecule: non-coding RNA, 581 nt
Filed under: Pongo abelii (Sumatran orangutan)
Lineage: Eukaryota; Metazoa; Chordata; Mammalia; Primates; Hominidae
Source: RNAcentral
CCCACGUGACCAGGUUCGGACACAGUCUGCAGCUGCCCAGCUCGCACCCCCACUCUGCAGUGCAGUAUAUGGGGAGCUCAGGGCACAGCAGGCCAGGCCUCCCCGUGGACGUCCAGGAACCAGAACCAAACUGCCCAGGGCCCCAAAGGGGAAGACGUCUCAGCAGACGGACAGCCGAGGCUCAUACGGCAAGCUCUGGCAGCCUGUCGGUCCCAGGAGAGAGGAGCAGAUGGCAGACAGGAAAAGAAACCACCUGCUGGGAUGCUGAGACUCGCUCGCAGGAGCUUUCGGAACUGGCUGAGGUCAGCUGGAACCAAUGUGGCCAGCUAGAGUCUGCACAGCCGGAGUUUCCACCCCGGGGUCCCAGUAACUCCCCCAAAUGUACACACGAGACCUAUGAGGAGACACAACUUUCCAGAACCCCCUUUUCUUCCACCAGCCACUUACUAAUCCAAGAACCCACCCCCGAACCUUCCCUAAUAGAAACUGCAUUAAAGCCAGCGCGGGGAGACAGACGUGAACUGCACCCCUGUCUUCUGGUGGGCUGGCCUAGAAUAAAAGCUUUUCUUUUCUCAAAAACC